RNAcentral lists this non-coding RNA (98 nucleotides) under Wolbachia endosymbiont of Armadillidium vulgare. The record is from RNAcentral. Lineage: Bacteria; Pseudomonadati; Pseudomonadota; Alphaproteobacteria; Rickettsiales; Anaplasmataceae.
AAGAGCCGUAUGCGGGAAAUUCGCAAGUACGGUUCUGUUGGGGGGAUCGUAGCAGUUAAACCUAAUAGGAGGAUUUAAAGUUAUGAUCUCUACCGGAC